Cinara cedri is the source of this 318-nucleotide non-coding RNA. The record is from the annotation of a GenBank genome assembly. NCBI's taxonomy places the organism in Eukaryota, Metazoa, Arthropoda, Insecta, Hemiptera, Aphididae.
GGUGAACCGUCAACACCUGUGCGUUUUUCGACUACUUAUGUACAAUGAUUUUUAUUGAAUGUGCCUAUCUCUAUUAAACGAGUACAUUUUAUACGACGAGUUAGUUCUUGUGUCGCGUUAAAAUACGUUAAAAUACGCGGACGGUGCACGUGCAUAUUAACGCGGGCAUACUUAACGACAUAAUUAUUGGCGUUUCGAGUACAUAGCUAAUGUUAUAAUUUGUUUCUCCCCCGAAAUAUUUGUAUUCGUUCGAGUGCACCAAAGAUACCAAUUUAAUAUUCGAAACGUAUACCCACCCAUAGGUAUAUUAGUAUAAUG